This is a long non-coding RNA of Oncorhynchus mykiss (rainbow trout), 5680 nucleotides long. NCBI's taxonomy places the organism in Eukaryota, Metazoa, Chordata, Actinopteri, Salmoniformes, Salmonidae. The record is from Ensembl.
AUGUUUCGUGGUUUUCACCAUCCCGGAGAACUUCCUCGGGGCCCUGCUCCCUUAGGCUACCCACCCCAUGUACAGCCACCCGGUCCCAGCUACGGAGGGCCCUUUGGCCCGCCACCCCACGUUCCAAUGCCUGGACACUUACCUCCUGGAUCUUGUCAUCCUUUCUUACCUCCCGGAUCGGGAAGUGAAUACCUCCACAGGCCCAUGAGGGAACAUUAUAUCAAUACUCCACACUGCAGCAGUUACUCCAUUGACCGCAGCACAGUGAUCAGUCUGGGUGGUCAACAGAUUCUCCCACCAGACACACAGCAUCUUCAGAUGCCACAGUGGCCCGCCAAUCCUUUGGAAUCAUGUCAAAGAGACAAGAGUGAGAACUUGACAGCUGGGGAAGAAUUCCUCAGAUGCCUUGCAGCUAAUAAGCCAGUCCCUGACUUCCUCAAAGGAGUCAACCUGUUGGACGCAGGGAAGGCAGUCAAGGCUCCAGGUGUACCAGAAGACCGGGGUUAUGAGAGGCAGAGACUCCGGAGCAAAUCUCGCAGUCCAGCGAAGGAAAGCAGGGGCAGGAGUAAGAGCCGAGCAAAGAGCCAGGUAAGAAGCAAGAGCCGGGCAAGAAGCAAGAGCUGUCCGCGCAGCAGAAGUCGUACCCGAGGGAAAAGCCGGGCAAGAAGCAAAAGCCGACCACGAAGCAGGAGUCGCAGUCGUGGAAAGAGCCAGGUCAGAAGCAAGAGCAAGGCUCGUAGUAGGAGCCGGAGCCGAGGGAAAAGUCGGGUGAGAAGCAAAAGCAGAUCAAGGAGUAGGAGUCGCAGCUAUGGAAAGAGCCGGGGCAGAGUGGACCAUCAUUCAGACCACAGGGACAAAAGGAGCCCCAUUCGGAGCUGUAGCAGCAGGAUCAGUAAUCACUCCUCCGUACACAAUGACCUGCUCGAGGGCCUGAAACAAGUUAUGAACAGCAAGCAACUGGAGGACAGUAUGCCUUCCAUCAAGAAUGCCAUUCUCACAAUACAGGCCAAUAACUUUAGCAGAGAUAUCCAGAGCAGCAGAGCAAUCCAGAGCAACUGUCUUCCAUGUGGACCAGUCUUGGCCAGCAGACAGGAAUUUCUUCAAGCCUCAGAUGGGCCCAAGCCAGUCAGCAGACAGGAGGAGACCGACAGCAAUCUUCUCCCCCACGAGAGAGUGGGCUGUGACUUCUCCUGGCUGCAGGGCACCAGGGAGGUCUCGCCUGUUCAGAAGCUGGAGGAGGUUGAGGAUGAGGAGAACUUCCUCUAUGGGAAUGAGGAUAACCAGUCAAAACAACGCCCUGCCACCCUGCCUUUUGCACCGUCCACAUCCAUUACCCAGCAGAGCGGUGCAGAGAUCUCCCCAGCAGGCCCACCCUACUAUCAAAGCCAGCCUCUGUUCGGGAACCAUAGUGAAGUCCUGGAGUUCAAGAUGCCUCCUCAACCGGUCCAGUCCAGUGUGAGGCCUGAGCAGAGGGUGCAGCCUGUUCCUGAUGUGAGGCCCGCCCCCACUGUGAAGGAAUGUGAGGAGUUCAAGACCAUGUUGAAGAACAUUGGACUGAAUCUGGGCACAUCAGAGAUCAGUAAGAUGAUGGUCAAGCUGCAGCAACAGAAGGAGGGGAAGGUGCCAGAGCAGAAGAGGGAGGAGAAAGUGCCAUCACCAGCACCAGUGCUGCCUCUUCCUCUUGUAAUUGGGGCAUCACAGGAGCCCAGACUGGCCUCGCCAGCACUCGGGGCAGCACUUGGGACAGCACCAAUACGACAAGCAUUGGAGUCAUUACAGUUCAUUAUUAAAGCAACAAGGGAGAAAAGGGCCAAUAGUGAUCCACAUGAUGGCAACCAUUCCCAAAGGAAUUCAGACAAACAGAAGAGCAAAGAUGACGAGGAGAGUCAGAGGAGAUCGAGACAUGACCAAAUGAAAAGGAAAGAAACUCUUGUGAAGGAACUGGAGGAAUUGCUAAAGCAGGAUGGGUCUACCUUUUUGAUUCCGGUCAUCGGGUUCUACUGUCAGAGGUGUGAGGAGUUCUUCGGAGACCUGACCACUGCUGAGGACCAUGCAGCAACCCACCGGCAGAAUGAGCCUAGCAUGCAGCAGCAUGGAGACAGACGACCUGGAGAGGACCGAAGACACCCUAGUCAUUACAUCGGGCACCCCCUGGGUCCAGAGUGGAGGGACCAGGGAGACCCAAGAGAUCAGAGGUAUCGCAAACUAGACGAGGGCCCAAAGGGUUACAGGAACGACAGGGAGAAGAUCUACGUAAAAGAGGAACGCCCUGGAAGCCCCAGGAUAAAGAUGCAGAUGGUCCGCGGGCACACCCCACCAGGUCUGCAGAAGGCCAGGGGGAGAGAGGAGGGGAGGGUGGAUAAGGGCUCUUGUGCUGCUUCCUCUGGCCAUGCCAGUGGGAAAUAUGGUAGGGUCAAACUUGAGGUAGUGGAGACCAAAGGAAAGCCCAACGUGGAAGUAUGUGACAAAAAGGACAAAGAUAAAGGAGAAAGCAGUUCUAAUAGUGAUGACGAGAAAGACAAAUCUCCUAAAGGCAACAAAAAGAAAAAGAAGAAGGAGAAAAAGAAGAAGGAAAAGAAGAAGAAGAAGAAGGAAAAGGGUUAGAAGUAAUAGCUGCUGUACUGCAUGUCCUGGUUUGAUUGUACUGUAUCUCUGGAGGACCUGGCCUUGGGUCAUUGUUUGGCAUCAUUGCAGCUGUUUUCAGAAGUUGGUGCUUUUAAUGUUAAAAAGAAGCAGUACUCCUCUGAUUCGUUCUCUCCUUUUGGGGUUGUCUUGUUUUUCAGCAAACUGCGUUCCUCUGUGUUGUAGUGGAUAACAGCACAUUGAAUGCUGUUGGAGGACAGGCCGUUCCAGGGUGCAUAUGCAGCAUUUAUGAUGUCCAGAAUUGUUUUGCUGCCAGCUACUGAUCCUAUUGUUCAGACCUUUAGUUACUGUAGAUGUUUAUUAAAUAACCCUCUUUAUAUUGGGCCAUGUUUGUGUAUAUUUCACCCGGUACAACCUUGAUUUAGUGCUUUGAGUGUUAUCAAAUGUACUUUUUGCAUUUAAAGGUCAACUGCCAUUUGAAGCGUGUGCUGUCUUUCUUCCUAAUGUUAAACCGAUGAGAUGGAAUUGUUCUGUAAUGAAGACAUUUUUAUGCAUUGUCCUCUUAUAAUAUGUCUCAGCAAUUGAUGGCGCAAGGCUAUUUGCAAGCGCACAUGAUCUUGCCAAAGUCAUUGGAUCCUAUCAGGAUAGGAACAGUUGACAUAUUUUUGUAAGGUGAUCACUUUUUUUUCUGAUUAUAUACAUUGUUUUUGUCUGCUGUUGCUUACUCUGACUUCCUUUUUCUCACACAUUAGGCAUUUCCAUUGAUCCAGGUUUAUUUGACAAAAGCAAUGUCAGAAACGGCAGAUAUGAGACAUUUUUAUCCGUUCAAUAGGCUUCUAUUUUUCUUUUGUUGAACUUUCUUUACUGCAACUAAUGAGGGAAACUACUUUUAACUACUUUUAAGGUAUGCUGGGCAUGUGAUGUCAUCACAUAACUUUAGGCUGCACUCCUAAAUGCCUACUGCUUGCAAAAUAAGUUUUCAUUUUGAGCUAACAUGGAAUUGUUUUAAGAUGGUCAUACCAUGGAUCAUUUAGCUAUUUGAUUUUGAAUUUUAUGACCCCUUUGGGUAUCAAAAAUAUUUAGUGAUUUGAUAAAAUAUUUAAUUUCACCUCUACUAUAGCACAUAGAAACGCAUUAAAUAACACAUUAAUAAAUGUCAUAAAAGACAGUAAAAAAAUAGAUCACAUGGAAUAAGGUUUUAAAGUGUCUGUCCUAGAUAUACGAAAGCUCAAGAAAUAGUUCAGUUUAGAAAGUAUUCAUUCCCCUUGACUUAUUCCACAUUUUGUUGUGCCUGAAUUAAACAAAACUAAAAAUUCUCACCCAUCUACACACAAUACCCCAUACUGACAAAGUGAAAACAUGUUUUUAGAAAUGUGCAAAUUUAUUGAAAAUGAAAUACAGAAAUGUCUCAUUUACAUGCACUACAGUUCAAAAGUUUGGGGUCACUUAGAAAUGUCCUUGUUUUUAAAAAGCACUUUUUUGUCCAUUAAAAUAACAUCAAAUUGAUCCGAAAUACAAUGUAGACAUUGUUCAUGUUGUAAAUGACUAUUGUAGCUGGAAACGGCAGAUUUUUAAUGAAAUAUCUACAUAGGCGUACAGAGGCCCAUUAUCAGCAACCAUCACUCCUGUGUUCAAAUGGCACGACUCCAGGAUGCUGGCCUUCUAGGCAGAGUUCCUCUGCCCAGUGUCUUGUUUUUCCUAUCUUAAUCUUUUCUUUUUAUUUGCCAGUCUGAGAUAUGGAUUUUUCCUUGCAUUUCUGCCUAGGCCAUCAUCCCUGAGUCGCCUCUUCACUGUUGACGUUGAGACUGGUGUUUUGCGGGUACUAUUUAAUGAAGCUGCUAGUUGAGGACUUGUGAGGUGUCUGUUUCUCAAACUAGACACUAAUGUACUUGUCCUCUUGCUCAGUUGUGCAUUGGGGCCUCCCACUCCUUUCUAUUCUGGUUAGAGACCGUUUGCGCUGUUCUGUGAAAGGAGUAGUACACAGCGUUGUACGAGAUCUUCAGUUUCUUGGCAAUUUCUCGCAUGGAAUAGCCUUCAUUUUUCAGAACAAGAAUAGACUGAUGCGUUUCAGAAGAAAGUACUUUGUUUCUGGCCAUUUUGAGCCUGUAAUCGAACCCACAAAUGCUGAUGCAGAAGGCCAGUUUUAUUGCGUCUUUAAUCAGAACAACCGUUUUCAGCUGUACUAAUAUAAUUGCAAAAGGGUUUUCUAAUGAUCAAUUAGCCUUUUAAAAUGAUACACUUGGAUUAGCUAACACAAUGUGCCAUUGGAGCACUGGAGUGAUGGUUGCUGAUAAUGGGCAUCUGUACGCCUAUGUAGAUAUUUCAUAAAAAUCUGCUGUUUCCAGCUACAAUCGUCAUUUACAACAUUAACAAUGUCUACACUGUAUUUCUGAUCAAUUUGGUGUUAUUUUAAUUGACAAAAAAAUGUGCUUUUCUUUCAAAAAACGAGAACAUUUCUAAGUGUUUGAACGGUAGUCUAAGUAUUCACACCUGAGUCAAUACAUGUUAGAUUCACCUUUGGCACCGAUUACAGCUGUGAGUCUUUCUGGGUAAGUCUCUAAAGGCUUGUUCACAUAAACAAUUUGAAGUGACUCAUCUGUUCUUUUUCCUGCAGUCUGAACAGCCAAAAAGCACAUGGAAUUGGAUAUUUCAAGCCACACAAGGGUAGUAUUAAGUCAGAGAAAAAAAUGAUUCCUGGCCAUGUGACUUGUCUGAAUGGUCAAAUCUGAUUCAUUUCUGGUUUUUAGACUGCUAUUCAGCUUAUCUUGUUGCUUGUUUGCUACUCUGUUGACAGUUUGACAAGAACAUGUGGUAGCUAACUAGCUUGAUAAUUGUUUACAACAAAUUAGUGUGUGCUUUAUAGCUAAACCGCUGGCUAGCUAGUUUACUACUGUGGCUAACCAAAAAGGACUUGUUUUGAAAGUUGGAUCAUCUUAUCCUUUGAGGCUUUAAAAAUGUUCUUACCCUAUGAUUUUGAAGAUUCAAAGCAACUGGGAAAUGUCCAUGGCAGGCAUUGUUGUCAUGUUAACUUGCUCCAUAACUUUUGAGUGACAGGAAGCAAAAGCACCACCACCAAUCAGCCUGCACCACUGCACAC